GGGAGUUUAGAUUUUAAAUGCCUUGCAGGUAAAUUAGGGUUUCAGUUAUAUCAGCAGUGGAGAAAUGCACAGAACUGUAGGUAAAAUGUAAAUAAUAUACAUACAAAGGACAGGAAUUUUACAUGCCAUGUCUCAUCAAGGAAAGGAUAUAUCAGACAAAUUCCCCCAUCUCUUACAUGAUAAAAUAUACAUAAAACCAUACUACCAUCUAACCCAGAUCCUUCUCGCCUUGGAUCUUCUUUUCUAAUUAGCUUAUCCCUUGAUGGUGGAUGUUAGACUAGACUCUCAUUAAUAUUUAAUUUAGAAAAAGGGGAAAAAAUCAAAGAAAGUUAAACCAAAAUUCAUUUUAAAUAACAUGAGAGCUUCAAAAAUUGUUUCUCAUUAGAUCCCAGUUAAGCCAGCUAGUUCUUCAGACAACUCCUCCACCAAUAAUCCAAAGAUUCCUAGUUCA
Molecule: unclassified non-coding RNA, 451 nt
Filed under: Hevea brasiliensis (rubber tree)
Lineage: Eukaryota; Viridiplantae; Streptophyta; Magnoliopsida; Malpighiales; Euphorbiaceae
Source: RNAcentral